UCCCAGCCCCAAAAUCAUCCCAGCCAUCUAAAUUUACCUGACCCACCUUAUCCCAAUAUCCGGACCAAAUACCCUUUCUCAUCUUCAACAAACUACAAAGAAAUCCAUAAUCUCCUGUGCAACAGAGACUUCAACGAAUAUACAUGGAGCGGACGACGACAAGUGCGUGGGCAUCAACGCGGAAACUCCAUCCGUGAUUCCAAUGAUUUCAAACGAUUAAGUGCGCGAUGAAGACGUUCACAUCCUUUGGCGCAUGACUCACGACCAGCGUCGCCUUUUGUGCGUACAGAAGGGCACCUGCAUUUUUCUAUCGAGCAAGUCACGCGGCUCCGCCCUUGGCAACGGGAGAUCACACCACCUAGCACCCCAAGGAUAAGCAAUCGAUCCUAGCCGCCCACCCCCUUUGCUCUUCUGGAAUGAGUCAAAUUCUUAAAAGAAAAGAGUGAUUCCCUUAAUAGUGAGUUUUUCUCUUUUCAUAUUUUGAAUUCGUUUCCCCCCUUUGGAGAACCCUAAUUCUGGGCAUAUAUAUUCUCUUUUUCUUCACACAAAGGAGGGGGAUUUUGUUUGGGGGAAAAUUCUAGUAGGAAAUUUUCACUAAUGCAAAGAAAGCUUGAGAGAAAUAAUUUAGAAUACACUUAAGUAUACUUUGUGAACAUAGAAGAAACUAUUUUAGGGUUUAAGUUCAAACUUCCGUCGAAAUCUUCGCUUAUUGUUCGCGUGCAAGUCUUCUCGUGGUAAAGUUUGACUCCUGCUCGCCCAGUCCCGGUCUUGCUUCCCUGAAGAAGGUGAGGAGGCGAGCGAGAGAUUGGAGGAGAGUGGCGAGCGAGAUAUUUGGGAGAGAGGCGCCUAACAAUUUUUUGCAAACGUUUGCUAUGGAGCACAAUUAACUCAAAUCCUAGCUACUCCAUUUAUUUUAGGUUAUUAGUUUGCUAUUAUAUACAAUUUUCUCUUGAUUUUAUUAUGUGGGCCUAUACUAAUUUUACUCUUGUUUUCUCUUCUUUAUGUUAAAUUUGUCUGGGUCUUAUGGACCCCAUCCUCACAUUUUCAUUUGGACCAUGGAGGACCCACUUGUGCUCUUCCGAGUCAACUAGUCAUUAAAUCGACGGACAGGUCCCGAAGUUUAAGGAAUUGAAGAAAGUCGAAGAAGUUAGAUUAGAAGACCCCUUUAUUUUCGUAUGUUGUAUUUUUAUUAUGUCAUGGGCCUAAGCCCUUGCCGCUUUGUACUAUUAUCUGAUCAUUUUAGGACAGGUACAAGUAGAGUGGGCCUAAGGCCCACAAACAAAGGGUCCAAAUACCGAUUCAGGCGGACAAAAAAUCCAGAUUUGGACCCAA
Molecule: long non-coding RNA, 1332 nt
Organism: Solanum lycopersicum (tomato)
Lineage: Eukaryota; Viridiplantae; Streptophyta; Magnoliopsida; Solanales; Solanaceae
Source: RefSeq, a predicted model, not a curated record